AACAAACGCUGGCGGCGUGCCUAACACAUGCAAGUCGUACGAGAAAGUCGGCUUCGGCCGAUGAGUACAGUGGCGCACGGGUGAGUAGCGCGUGGGUAAUCUGCCCCCCGGUCAGGAAUAACCCGCCGAAAGGCGGGCUAAUACCCGAUAACACUGACGCUCCGCGGAGCGUCUUUCAAAGAAGGCCUCUGUUUACAAGCUUUCGCCGGAGGAUGAGCCCGCGUACCAUUAGCUAGUUGGCAGGGUAAUGGCCUACCAAGGCUACGAUGGUUAGCUGGUCUGAGAGGAUGGCCGGCCACACUGGAACUGAGACACGGUCCAGACUCCUACGGGAGGCAGCAGUGGGGAAUAUUGGGCAAUGGGGGAGACCCUGACCCAGCGACGCCGCGUGAGGGACGAAGGUUUUCGGAUCGUAAACCUCUGUUGUACGGGAAGAAGGAAUUGACGGUACCGUACGAGUAAAGCCCCGGCAAAACUACGUG
RNAcentral lists this ribosomal RNA (482 nucleotides) under uncultured bacterium. RNAcentral describes it as "bacterial SSU rRNA". It matches the Rfam family "Bacterial small subunit ribosomal RNA", at positions 29 to 507 of the family's 1533-position model. The record is from RNAcentral.